RNAcentral lists this ribosomal RNA (954 nucleotides) under Triticum aestivum (bread wheat). Its description in RNAcentral is "partial small subunit ribosomal RNA". Lineage: Eukaryota; Viridiplantae; Streptophyta; Magnoliopsida; Poales; Poaceae. The record is from RNAcentral.
AUGCUCUCGGGGUCCCAGUCCUACCCGUGCGCCGGCGACGGCGGCGACCACAUGCUGCUCCGCUUCCUCAAGAACAAGGUGGACUACGCGCGGCUCCACGGGAUGGAGCUGCUCUACAACACGGCGCUGCUGCAGCCCCGGAUGGUGGCCUACUGGGCCAAGAUCCCCGUGGUGCGCGCCGCCAUGCUCGCCCACCCGGAGGCUGAGUGGGUCUGGUGGCUCGACGCCGACGCCGUCAUCACCGACAUGGACUUCGCGCCCCCGCUCGCCACCAGGUAUAAGGAUUACAGCCUCGUCGUCCACGGCUGGGACAGGGAGGGAGGUGUACGAGGCCAGGUCCUGGGUGGGCCUCAACGCCGGCGUCUUCCUCAUCCGCAACUGCCAGUGGUCGCUCGACUUCAUGGACGCAUGGGCCAGCAUGGGCCCGGCCUCGCCGGAGUACGCGCGAUGGGGCAAGACCCUCAAGGCCACGCUCAGCGACAAGCCCGACGACCAGUCCGCGCUGGCAUACCUGCUGCUCAAGAACCCCAAAAAACGGGGCGCCAGGACCUACCUGGAGCACGAGUACUACUUCCAGGGAUACUAGGCGGAGAUCGUGGACAAGCUCGACGGCGUCGCGGCGCGGCGGUUCGGGCCCGCGCUCCGGCGGCGGCACGCCGAGGGGGAGCACGCGCUGUACGCGGCGGCGAGGAACGCGGCCCUGAGGAAGAAGGCCGGCGGCGUCCCGGGGCCCGACGGGGGCGGGCAGAAGGCGUCCGCCUGGCGCCGGCCCUUCGUGACGCACUUCACCGGCUGCAACCCCUGCGGCGGCAAGCCCAACGAGAUCUACUCCAACGAGAGCUGCGCCGAGGGGAUGCGCCGCGCGCUCAACCUCGCCGACGACCAGGUGCUCCGCGCCUACGGCUUCCGCCACGCCGGGCCGCUCAAGGGCGACGUGCGCCCGCUCUAGUCUAG